This 421-nucleotide ribosomal RNA is filed under the name uncultured Actinomycetes bacterium. Its description in RNAcentral is "bacterial SSU rRNA". It matches the Rfam family "Bacterial small subunit ribosomal RNA", at positions 233 to 671 of the family's 1533-position model. The record is from RNAcentral. Lineage: Bacteria; Bacillati; Actinomycetota; Actinomycetes.
GCGGCCUAUCAGCUUGUUGGCGGGGUAAUGGCCCACCAAGGCAACGACGGGUAGCUGGUCUGAGAGGAUGGUCAGCCACACUGGGACUGAGACACGGCCCAGACUCCUACGGGAGGCAGCAGUGGGGAAUCUUGCGCAAUGGGCGAAAGCCUGACGCAGCAACGCCGCGUGCGGGAAGAAGGCUUUCGGGCUGUAAACCGCUUUCAGCAGGAACGAAAAUGACGGUACCUGCAGAAGAAGGAGCGGCCAACUAUGCGCCAGCAGCCGCGGUAAUACAUAGGGUGCAAGCGUUGUCCGGAAUUAUUGGGCGUAAAGAGCUCGUAGGUGGUUAGUUACGUCGGAUGUGAAAAUCUAGGGCUCAACCCUAGACCUGCAUCCGAUACGGGCUAGCUUGAGUUUGGUAGGGGAGACUGGAAUUCCU